GUGUGGACUACCAUUAUGUGAAGAUACUGCCUACUUCGCAGGAGAUGAGCCACGUGUAGAUAUUUGCACACAUAUGUAAUCGAACAAAAACGUUUUUGUUCCGAGUUCUAAAUAUUGACUUUAAACCAUCCCAGAAAAAAAGGUUAUUCUAACAAAGACAUCCUUUCUCCGACAAGAAAACUUUAUUCUUUAUCACCGCACACCAAAAACCCGGCGAACAACAACAACAAAAAAAUAACUUCUUAACGACCACUGUAUUUACAUACAAAUCCGUUAUUUUCAUAAGAACAUCGCAGUUAGCAACGGCAAUAUAAAUGUUAAUUCGCGGCCUAUUCAAGAGACAGAAUUAACGACUUCUCCACCACAGUUUACGUCCCGAGCUUUCAAAAAGCUCCCGGUAAAAAAGAGAAAACGGCUGUAAGAAAAAGGGACCGUAAAACGAAAAACCCGGCGAAUUUCGUAAUUGGAGUCCCCGUUUUUGUUCCAACGAUCUUUUCGGUUGAGACGAGUUUUCGCAAAUUAAAAUUAUUCUCGGAAAACGGAGGCGAAGGGCGUGUAAUGCGUUAAUCAAAACGAUCCCCUUCGUCGACGAAGCAAACUCCAAAAGAUACUCGAAAAACGAGCGAACUUACUAAUUGGCGACGAUGUUUUGUCGGAAAACAUACUGAUCCGGGGGAGAGGAAAAUUUCAUUAAAUCCGUGAUCUAUUUGAUCUGAUAUACGCGGUUUUCAAAGUUGCAUUUAUGCGUAUAAAUGAAUGCUUAAUUGAAUUACUCAAUCACAAACGUGUCGCUGUUUAACGGAGAUUAACGAGUUAAAAAAAAUCUAAGAGGGCAUUGAGAGAAAGGAAUUAACCGGUUACGGUCGAUUAGGAAACCACUUUUCACUUUUGCAAAUUUAAUACAUAGUGAAUAUUUUCAAAUUAGUUUAACACUUACUUUUUUUUAUCAAUCAAUUGAACAAACUGUUCAAUCAACAUCAUAAUUUGAUGAAAUCUGUUUAAAAUGCUGGUGAACAACAUUAAAAUUCCAAUUUAAUAACUACUUUAGAAAUCUAUUACUAUAGAUAGUUGUUGAAUUGUAUUUUUUACUAGAUCUUCAGAUCGAUAAAUCCAGUUCAAACUUGGUAUCGAGGAGUAAUGGGCCAUGGUCCAUUAAUUUCCAGUAUUACUUAUUACGUGUGAUGAUAGUGUUAAAUUAUAGUACCACAUCUUUAAAAAUUCCCAAUGUUAAACAAUACAUGCCAAGAAGUGUAGCUUCUUUAGCUAGAAGCUUUAGUUAGAAAGAUUGAUUUGCAUUGGAAAUACGCAAGAAACUAACUUCUUUUCUUAGGAAAAAAAGUUUACAUCUUAUUACAGGUUAUAUCACAUCGCUGAUGAAGACCAUUAAUUUCAACCCAACCUAAACACCAACGCUCAUUUUUGACAAAAUCUUCUCCAAAGAGGAUGUUUUAGAAAGGAAUAAGAUCAGUAAAUAAGGAAAAUUUUACCCUCAAAAAGAGUAUUGUUUUAGAAGACAUCAAUGGAAAAGAGGUGAUUCAUUCUCUUGAAUAAAUGUGCAAUAAUAUCUUAACCAGCGUACGUCAGCUUUAUGAAACUGCAAUUGUGCUAGACUCAAAAAAAUGCAGCAGGGCAACGUUUAUUUUAUCAUCUCCAAGUGUGCUUCAAUGUUAUGUUCAGAGUGUCUAAAAGAACUUUUCUAUGUUUAUGCUGACGAUGAAGUAAUCGAUGCUGAACUUCGAAGAACAAAUCACUGUUACCCAGCAUAGACAUGGCAAGAUAUUUAACGAGUAAUGCAGAGAUUUUGGUGAAAAGAGAAUAAAAGUUUGUGUUUAGGGCUUUAAAAAUGUGAGAUUUAAUGCACAAUAAUAAAGCAGAAACUUAGAGGUUGCUACAGAACCACCUAGAUGUUAUAGUUAUGUAACUCAAAGAUUAACUGGAAAAACGCCAAAAGAACCAAAUUACACUCCCAUCAUGGGUUCAUCUUCUAAAACAGAAACAAAGUUAACAUAACUGACGACAUCAUUCGAUUCAAUUCUCAAUUAAAGCGCUAGAUUUAGAGCAACUAGUCAAAAAGCUCGCAUUACUCCUAAACGACCGAUGUACAUCGUGAACUAUCGCAUGACUUGAGGAACUGCAAUGUUAAUGGUCUAACAGGUUUUGGAACCAAAGUUUCUUGACAGAAUGGUUACGAAGAGCCAAGUUUAGAACAAAGAAUUAACAGAGAAGAAUUCAUAUUUAAGCAGAACUUCAUUGAAAUGCAGGAAAAUCAUGAUGAAAAUGUAUUUCAUGAACUAUAUCCGACCAACAUGCAUAACAAAGAAGAUUGCAUGAGUUGAACAUUUGCGAUGAUGAGAAUUUUUAGAAACAAAGUUGGGUAUUUCUUACCGAAACGGUUACGAAGCACUAAAUAUGCUACGAAGCACUAAAUAUGCCUUCCACGUGUAUUAACUCAUAUUACACAUAUAAUUAAUACGAAAUAAUAGGGAACCCAGUGUAAUGAUUCCAAUGAUCUCAUAAUUAUCUGAAAGUUAUCAUAUUUCAUUUUUUUCUUUACAUCAACUUCCAACAGAUAAAUUUUUAAAGCUAAAUUUCUUUCUAGCUGUACUUCGUGGCGAGUCAUUCGGAGAGAGCCACUGCCCUUUGCGUUUUGGAUUAUCAUAUAGGACCCAUUUUUCAUCUGCAGUGAUCAUGCGAUUAAAAAAUCCGGAUUUUCAGUCCGGAAAAAUACGGAUCGGUUAACUUUGUUUUCGUCGGACCAAUCUGAUAUAAAUAUUCUUGGAUGAUAAACCAAGGUUGGUUAAGAGUAUUUGUAGUUCCUCGAUCGUCUGACACGGAUUUGCUUCCACUUUCGUCCUUAACAGGUCAAAAUUACCGGGUUUGAACUUAGAAAACCACCUUUGGUAGCAAUUGUUGCAGUAUUACCCUUGCAAAACUCAAAAAGCAUACAAUGCCGAAUAUGUACCACUUCUGGUAUUUGACUGGUCAUUUCACCAUAAAUUCCCAAAAAGAAAAAUAAGAAUUAUUUGCGAGUAAACAAGUCACUCUAAUCUUAAAAUAUCUUUAACUCGAUUUUGUAGUACACAAUGAGAUGAUAGAUGGCAAUCGAAUAUCGACAUGCACAGAAACGACAUUACUUUCCGGUCCUCUAAUAUGAUCGUCAUCGAAGGUGUUGUAGACCACGACGUUUUUGGGAUUCGCUGAUACAUUAUUUAGAGCUUUGGUUGCAAAAGUUGGACUCAAUCCAUAACAUUUUUAAAAUUGGAUUCAUUACAAUAUAUAUACUAAGUGCUGUGAAAAUCUCAAUGCCAAGAGAGUGGCACAAGUGAUAAUUGGUUUAAUAAUGGUUAGAUUUUGUUUGGUUAAUAAUUGUUGAAGCUUUCCCGAUUCUGUUUGGAGCUGCACGGAAUACUGAAUUAUUUAUUGUGACGCAUGUGCGCCAAACUGUAGGGAUUAUAGUAUAGGGUGUUGUGACUUAUUGGACCCGACCUUCAAGUAUGUAACCUAUCGAACAUAUUUGGGACAUUAUGCAGGAGACUGAGAAACUUGUUGCAUCUUCCGCAUAUGGUGCAAAUUACUGCAUGAAGGUUGCAAAGGACAUAAUACCUCACGAGAAAAUCGACCAAUUGCUAAAAUCAAUACCACGAAGAGUGGGGGAGUAUGUAACCAACCCAUAAUUAAUAAAAAUUAAGUUUGCAUUUUGUACUUCGUAGUUAAACGGUUCUGCCAAGUUUGAUCAAAAAUAUAUUUCUACAUUUAGGA
Long non-coding RNA from Onthophagus taurus, 3759 nucleotides. RefSeq lists it as uncharacterized. The record is from RefSeq and is a predicted model, not a curated record. NCBI's taxonomy places the organism in Eukaryota, Metazoa, Arthropoda, Insecta, Coleoptera, Scarabaeidae.